Molecule: long non-coding RNA, 1621 nt
Organism: Syngnathus acus (greater pipefish)
Lineage: Eukaryota; Metazoa; Chordata; Actinopteri; Syngnathiformes; Syngnathidae
Exons: 2
Source: RefSeq, a predicted model, not a curated record
AGUCCAGCUGUUAUCCAGAGGAGCAUGUGUGUGUUCCCACCCAAGAUUACGCGUACGUGUGUCGGCACCGUGAUUCAUCCCGCAGCUGCCCCCCCCCCACCCCCGACAGGCCGCGGCUCUGUCGUCACUGCACAGCCCCCACAGCAAGAGGCCAGGCCAGGAGCACAGCUGGCCAGACUUGGUGGAGCCAGUCGACAGGCGCAUGGAGCGCAGCCCGCCCAGGGCCCGCUUCCUCCACAAACAUGCCCAGGUGUGGGGCCUCCGAGCUGGGCUUCUGAUCUCUAAACAGCACAGUGUGUGCGUGCAUGUGUGACGUGUAGGGAGGGAUGAUAGGAUGAGGGAUCAAGAAGGCAGAAGCGGGGAUAUGGUGUGUAUGUGUGUGUGUGUGUGAGCGAGUGCGGGGAAAGGGGGGGGGGGGGCGGGUCAUCCCUGCCGAAGCUGUGUCAACAUUGCGUGUUAAUGUGUUUGAGUAUGUGCAUCUGUAUCUGCAUGUGUUUGCAUUUCGGGAAGCGGGGUCACUCCUGGGGUAGACAGUGGGCAACAACAAUUACCGCAGCACUGGAGCAGAAUCGUGUCUGAAUCGUUUGUGCCGGCCCACUGUGGCUUUGUGCCAUGAGUGUCAUUGCAGAAACAUUGGUUUUAAGCAUCAUGCAUGAAAAGGUCAUGGAAGCCAUAGCAGAUAUUUAGUUCAUGCCGAGCUGCGGCCUUAAAUGAAAACCCUCUGCAACAUCUCCCGUUCAGAACUCGCUUAUUAAUCACUUCAUAAAUCACCACCGCAAAAGAACAAAUCCAUUCUACAAUGUUGCCUUAUUUGAUAUGUGACCCUCAGCGGGUUACGACUAAUGGCGACCUCAUUCUGGCCUGGUUGCCAUCCAAAAAAAGCAUUUGUGUAUUCCCAGCUACUUUCCAACGCACCUAAAUGCGCACACGAACGAGUCCACGGUGCACCAAAUGAAACAGGAGGCGUUUGCACUGAGGUCACAUCAGAUAAGACGAGGCCAGACGGGCUCAGAUAAGCUCUUUGAACGCAGAGUCAGCAUCGGGGAGAUGUUCUCUGCUCCCCUGCAGCCGUUUCACAUGGCGGCUGACGCCGGCUGAUGCUGGCUCCUUUGCGGCCUAGCACUGCUACUAAUUAGGUGGAGGAACCCAAGGCCUUCUGACUGACUGCCUUGUCUAUUGCAAUCCCCCCACUCGGGAUUGCUCAUGCAUGCAUGACAGACACUCACGCAAAAACAUGCUCAGCAGACUCACAGACUCCUAUCUGUUGACGACCCCUGGAGAAUCACACAUGGUGGAGGUGGCCCUCUUGUGGACGAAGAGAAAAGACAGCACUGCUAAUUGUUAGAUCGUGUGAAUAAUUGCGGUUUGUACUUUCCCUACGCCGCUUUGAACUUGGCACUGUCUGUCAGCAGCCUGACAUUCAGUCUAUUAUCUAUUGCUUGCUUAUUGCAAAACAAUAAAGGCUCACAUAGAAGUAUUUUUUAAAUGAUGCACUUUGAAUACCAUUAGGAACAGACUGAACUGAAUGAAUACAAGUAUUUGAUAGGAAUAAAAGCAAGACUAACCCCUACUCUCCAAGUCUGUAUCCAUAUUUGCUGUAUAAAUUUGAUUAUGGUCGCCA